Molecule: transfer RNA, 120 nt
Filed under: Thermofilum pendens Hrk 5
Lineage: Archaea; Thermoproteati; Thermoproteota; Thermoprotei; Thermofilales; Thermofilaceae
Rfam family: tRNA
About the family: Transfer RNA (tRNA) molecules are approximately 80 nucleotides in length. Their secondary structure includes four short double-helical elements and three loops (D, anti-codon, and T loops).
Source: Rfam by way of RNAcentral
GGGCCGGUCGUCUAGUGGGAGGAUAACCCCUUUUACUCAAACCGCCCUUGCAAGGGUCGCGUAAAGGGGCUUCGAUCCCGAGAGCGGCGGAGGUCCCGGGUUCGAAUCCCGGCCGGUCCA